Prosopis cineraria is the source of this 1000-nucleotide long non-coding RNA. RefSeq lists it as uncharacterized. The transcript is spliced from 2 exons. NCBI's taxonomy places the organism in Eukaryota, Viridiplantae, Streptophyta, Magnoliopsida, Fabales, Fabaceae. The record is from RefSeq and is a predicted model, not a curated record.
CAAUAAUAAAAUAAUAAUAAAAAGAAAAGAAGAAGAAGAGAGAGAAAAUAAUUAAAAAAAAUGUGGGACCCACUGAAUUUUUAUAAAAACUCACCUGUUCCUUCAUUUCUUCAUUCCUUCUUUCGUGCGUGAGCUUCGGCAGAGAGAGCAUCUGUGAGCCAAAUUCACCGGUGCUGGGUUUUAAGAUUGUAUUACUGGUGAAGAUUGUGGUGAGAGAGAAAUUUUAAGGAAUAAUUUAUUGAAAAAGCCACAAGGUAACCAUGCUUUUAAUUUGUGAUUAGUGUUACUUCUUGUUAAUUGGGUGAUUAUUGAGAAAAUUAUGAAUUUUGUAAUAUUGUAUAAUUGUGCAAUAUUAUUAUGAAUUUGUUUAAUUAUUGUGGGAGGUGUUGGGAGACUUGCUAUUGUUGUUGUAUUUAUGUGCCACGUGGUACGCCCCUAUUGGAGCUCAAUAGGUGGUUUGUAAGGGCUCGGGCUAAUCUACCUUUGGCCGGGUAAUUUAGUACCGAGUGAGGGCUACGGCUCGAGGUUAAUGGAGGGAUAUAAGGAUGGUUGUUUGUGUUUAUUAUAAUAUUUCUUAUAUUUGUUAGAAUUAUAUUAUUUUUAAUUCUCACUUAGUAAGCACACACUUAACUGUUUGUAUACACUAUCAUAAAUUGGCUUUGGUUACUGGGACUUUUGAGUCUCAUUAUGUGGUUAACAAUUUUCAGGAGAAGAGCCAAGAGUGACACGUGGAGGAGUCCCAGAGGCUUAGUGGUAUAGAUCCACUGUCUCUUUUGGGUAUUUAAUUUAUGAUUUAUAAUGUGUUAUAUUGCCAAUAUUAGGACUUUUUUAUGUUUAUUGUCAAUUAUAUGAAUAUAUAAAUGUAAUCAUGCCUUUCAAACUAUUUCUAUUUUUGGUACAAUUUGGAUGACUGUAAUUUUAAUAUUUGGUUUACUUUGGAUUGGUUAAAAUGGCAUGAUUAUAAGGCCAAAUAACUGGCUUGUGUUGAAAAUUGACUAAA